Molecule: ribosomal RNA, 740 nt
Filed under: Triticum aestivum (bread wheat)
Lineage: Eukaryota; Viridiplantae; Streptophyta; Magnoliopsida; Poales; Poaceae
Description: partial small subunit ribosomal RNA
Source: RNAcentral
AGGCCAUCCAAUGGCUCCUCUCCGGAUAAGGAGCCCCCUCCCCCGAACCCUAGCACCCCCAGGACCUUUUCCCUUCUCCGCCUCGAGUUGCUUCUUCCUCUUCCUCGCAUGGCCGCCUCUGCCGCGGCCAUUGCCUCGCUGCCCCCGUAGCCACCGAGCUCACCACGCCCAGCCACCUCGUCUACGAGCUUCGCCGACGUCCACUCCUUCGACUACGUCCACCAGUUGGAGCCGGUAGCCCCUGGAUCGCAGGGAUCGAUGUCGUCUUCAACCUCCAGCCACCGCGACAUCAUCGACGAAUUCAUCGCCGUCGCUCCACAACCCGACCUUCCCGAGCUCACCUACGACAUCGCGACUACGAGACCGACGAUGUUGCUGCCCAGUUCGACUACGGAGUUGAUGACCCCUCCUCCUUGCCAGAGCAACCAGGAUCCAGACGCUACCGUCGACGACGACUACUACACUAGAGGAGCCUACUACUACGUGGAGGCCGCUGACGACGACCAGGAGUAGUUAGGAGGAUCCCAGGCAGGAGGCCUGCGCCUCUUUCAAUCUGUAUCCCAGUUUGUGCUAGCCAUCUUAUGGCAACUUGUUUAACUUAUGUCUGUACUCAGAUAUUGUUGCUUCCGCUGACUCGUUUAUGUCGAGCACUUGUAUUCGAGCCCUCGAGGCCCCUGGCUUGUAAUAUGAUGCUUGUAUGACUUAUUUUACUUUUAGAGUUGUGUUGUGAUAUCUUCCCG